CAAUGACGGCUUUGCAUUCACUGGUGAAUGGUAGAUCUGACUUAACUAAGAAAUGUACCAAUAACUAUUAGGUGAGACUACAGAAUUUAGAGACCGAACCCGUUGCAUCUUGCUUAAUAAAGUAAUGGAUAAGGUGUUGUCUACUCAUUGGUCUGUGCUCACCAAUAACUAUUAAAUGAGGUGUGUAUAGAUCAGUGGGACUGCAGUAUCCACUAAAAAUCAAUCGCAUAUAAAUUUCUGUUUCUCCACCCA
Molecule: long non-coding RNA, 252 nt
Filed under: Elaeis guineensis (African oil palm)
Lineage: Eukaryota; Viridiplantae; Streptophyta; Magnoliopsida; Arecales; Arecaceae
Description: long non-coding RNA (EGUI_LNC075062)
Source: RNAcentral